CCUACGGGAGGCAGCAGUGGGGAAUAUUGCACAAUGGGGGAAACCCUGAUGCAGCGACGCCGCGUGAAGGAAGAAGUAUUUCGGUAUGUAAACUUCUAUCAGCAGGGAAGAAAAUGACGGUACCUGACUAAGAAGCCCCGGCUAACUACGUGCCAGCAGCCGCGGUAAUACGUAGGGGGCAAGCGUUAUCCGGAUUUACUGGGUGUAAAGGGAGCGUAGGCGGUUUAGCAAGUCAGAAGUGAAAGCCAGGGGCUCAACGCCGGGACUGCUCUUGAAACUGUGGAACUAGAGUGCAGGAGAGGUAAGUGGAAUUCCUGGUGUAGCGGUGAAAUGCGUAGAGAUUAGGAGGAACACCAGUGGCGAAGGCGGCUUGCUGGACUGUAAAUGACGCUGAGGCUCGAAAGCAUGGGGAGCAAACAGGAUUAGAUACCCUGGUAGUC
This 440-nucleotide ribosomal RNA is filed under the name uncultured bacterium. RNAcentral describes it as "partial 16S ribosomal RNA". It matches the Rfam family "Bacterial small subunit ribosomal RNA", at positions 338 to 795 of the family's 1533-position model. The record is from RNAcentral.